CAGCUGUAAACUAUGCUCGCUAGGUGUCAGGCAUGGCGCGACCGUGUCUGGUGCCGCAGGGAAGCCGUGAAGCGAGCCACCUGGGAAGUGCGGCCGCAAGGCUGAAACUUAAAGGAAUUGGCGGGGGAGGCACAACAACGGGUGGAGCCUGCGGUUUAAUUUGGACUCAACGCCGGGAAGGCUCACCGGAUAGGACAGCAGAAUGAUUGCCGGGCGUGAAGACCCUCGCAUGACUAGCUGAGAGGAGGUGGCAUGGCGUAGACGUGU
Molecule: ribosomal RNA, 267 nt
Filed under: uncultured archaeon
Lineage: Archaea
Description: partial 16S ribosomal RNA
Rfam family: Archaeal small subunit ribosomal RNA
Source: RNAcentral